This 400-nucleotide ribosomal RNA is filed under the name uncultured bacterium. RNAcentral's name for it is "bacterial SSU rRNA". It matches the Rfam family "Bacterial small subunit ribosomal RNA", at positions 355 to 765 of the family's 1533-position model. The record is from RNAcentral.
UCGAGGAUCUUCGGCAAUGGGCGCAAGCCUGACCGAGCGAGGCCGCGUGUGCGAUGAAGGCCUUCGGGUUGUAAAGCACUGUCGAGAGGGAGAAAAGGGCAACUUUGAUCUAUCUCUGGAGGAAGCACGGGCUAAGUUCGUGCCAGCAGCCGCGGUAAGACGAACCGUGCGAACGUUGUUCGGAAUCACUGGGCUUAAAGGGCGCGUAGGCGGGCUACCAAGUCCGGGGUGAAAUCCUCCAGCUCAACUGGAGAACUGCCUCGGAUACUGGUGGUCUCGAGGAAGAUAGGGGCAAGCGGAACCGUGGGUGGAGCGGUGAAAUGCGUUGAUAUCCAUGGGAACUCCGGUGGCGAAGGCGGCUUGCUGGAUCUUUUCUGACGCUGAGGCGCGAAAGCCAGGG